AGGACGAACGCUGGCGGCGUGCUUAACACAUGCAAGUCGAGCGGAAAGGCCCUUCGGGGUACUCGAGCGGCGAACGGGUGAGUAACACGUGAGUAACCUGCCCUGGACUUUGGGAUAACCCUCGGAAACGGGGGCUAAUACCGAAUAUGACCCGAUACCGCAUGGUGAUGGGUGGAAAGUUUUUCGGUCUGGGAUGGGCUCGCGGCCUAUCAGCUUGUUGGUGGGGUGAUGGCCUACCAAGGCGACGACGGGUAGCCGGCCUGAGAGGGCGACCGGCCACACUGGGACUGAGACACGGCCCAGACUCCUACGGGAGGCAGCAGUGGGGAAUAUUGCACAAUGGGCGGAAGCCUGAUGCAGCGACGCCGCGUGAGGGAUGACGGCCUUCGGGUUGUAAACCUCUUUCAGCUCUGACGAAGCGCAAGUGACGGUAGGAGCAGAAGAAGCACCGGCCAACUACGUGCCAGCAGCCGC
Molecule: ribosomal RNA, 474 nt
Filed under: uncultured bacterium
Lineage: Bacteria
Description: SSU rRNA
Rfam family: Bacterial small subunit ribosomal RNA
Source: RNAcentral